This is a long non-coding RNA of Bombus pascuorum, 3274 nucleotides long. RefSeq lists it as uncharacterized. NCBI's taxonomy places the organism in Eukaryota, Metazoa, Arthropoda, Insecta, Hymenoptera, Apidae. The transcript has 5 exons. The record is from RefSeq and is a predicted model, not a curated record.
GAUAUCGAAUUCGAAAGUGGUUCGUCUAUGGCGCCACUUUUCCCGCGUGAAACAACCCCGCGAUCGUUUAACCUUAACCAAUGAUACUCACUUUGUACAAGGUUCUCGUAUUAGCACGGCGAAGAAAAGGGAGGAGAGAAUCGUCGAGCAGAAAAAUAACGAAACGUGUCUCGCGUACGUUACAAGAGGAAGCAACACAUCUCGCGUACAAAUUGAUGCGACAAACUUCAUGCCGUUCCGAUAAUGAACGACUGAAUAAAUCACCAUUCACUUCUAAAGGAACAGGAAGAUGCACGCCUGUAUACAGGCGGAAAUGAAUCAGUUGCACGCAGUGUCACGAGAAAUGUCGUCAGACCAGAAUACAAGGAAGCGACUGUCAUGAUUUAAUCGACGAACCAAUGAGACUUUCUGUCGUCCUCGAAGGAUAUAAACACUCUCGAAACUGCGCUCUAUACGAGAGGUUGCUCCAAAGGAAAAUCACACAAGACUACGAUGGCAACGCUCGACAAUUAAAAUGCCUGCGAUCACUGAGAUUCCGUCGAAAGUUUUUGUUGGUAUUGAUACGGCAGGAUGCACGAGGAUUUUGAACGAACGACGCGCGUCAAAACACCCGUAUGCCUGACGGCUCUCGCUGCCGAGAUAUAACUGACACGACACACGCAACUACCUACUCUCGCGCUCGAACCGUGGAACGAUGAAACGGAACGUCCGGAACGCCGGAACUACGGAACGAUAUAUACCUGAAUCGCGUUUCAGCGCAACUUUAGGCGUGCCUUUAACCACCCGACACCACGUUUAAUGGAAAUAGAGGGUGUGCUCCUGAGGUCUAUGUCCCUGAAUUCUCGAGUUCGCUGAACUCUGGCAUCAUGGAAUAUGUGAGGUAUCAAUUCAUUUCGAAGAAGAUGCCAGGCACCAUGGUUGGUAACACGCCAUAAAGACACCACUAACAGCUGUUUGUCACGCAAAAAUGAAGCAACAAAGAAGAAACCAUUCAAGGUAAUAUUGACAUCUGUCAAGGUAUAUAGGCGAUACGCGCGAGAACGAAACGGCAGAAGAACGUAUAUAACGGCGAAGGGUGAAAAGAAAUAUGGAGAACUGCUCGAAGAACUGGUAGACGGCGCAUAAAAAAUGCCAAAUGUUUCGGGAUGUACGAGGCAACGCGAACCUCGUCGACGCCAUUAACUCUUGAAUUUUUAAUACGUGAACGUACAGCCCUUGCGUAUCAUGAAUUCUGCCUUGAAGCACGGCGACAUGCUUGAAACAUCGAACAUCGAACGUCGAGCCACGCGUUUGUUCGAUCGUCGACUAAAAAGGGAACCGCUUACAACGAAGAAACACACCCCAGCAAAAUGGUUCUUUUUCGCGAUUAGCGCCGGUGUCACGGCACUUCCGCUGUGUCUCUACCUCGCGCCACAUCCUAUCGCCUUUUACUUCUUCCCUUCUUUAAUAUUCAGCCACCGUUCUCGUAACCUACGUUGUGCCGCCGCGCCGCCAGACACACGUAAAUACGCGUACCUCACAAAUAUAUCGCGCAUGUGUGCAACGUGUUAUCCUCUGUGCGUGUCACUAUGCGCCUGUUCGCAGCAUAUGCAUACAAGCGUGCAUUCUCUGCGAGACAAUGGGCGUGCCCACCUCACGUGACUGGCACGUGAGCACCCUUAAAAAGGGCCCUCGGUUGCUGACGUUCAUUCAUACUGGUCCGCCUGUUUCGUGGUCGACACUGAUGACCCUACACCGCGCGUCGGAAAGUCAAGAAGAAUCGAACGACAGAAAGAGCAGAAAACCGCUGUUUAACCGUGUACCAUUCAGAGACGGUUUUCGUGAGUCUUGCAGGUGCGCGGACGAUUACACCGUGCAAACUAUGCGUCACCGUAACAAUGUCCUUUGCUCGACAGCUUCAACCGCUGCCCGACAGAAGUACCCUGCCGGGACAGGAGAAUAAUCCGUGGAACGAAUGCAGUGAACUUGUUACUUAAAUAAGCCGUGAAAGAUGGAGUGUGUUUGGAUAAAGGUAAAUAAACGCGUCCUGUGCAUCAAGUACAAUGACCUUUCGUACUUCUGAAUUCGUAUUUAUUCAACCAUUUAAGCUCUUUAUACAAUAUAUGUACGCAAGUAUUAUAAAUGAGAAGACGAUCGACGACAGGAUUCUUCGAUUUACGAAAUGCGGUGUAAUAAAAGCGAGCAAGUGAACGGCAAUGUCAAUGGUUUCACGACUAUUCUUGGAUCUCUUCCAAUAGCGCUAUCGUGCUCGGAAUCGAUAAAGGAACUAACGUUUAUUAUUUCGCAAGCAACCCCUCCCGUGUGAACGCGCUCGACCCUCACAAAUCGUAAUUGCCGGGCAACGAACAGGCAUGUCUAGCUGCUCUAUGAGAUAGCUUGCCUCUGAGUCACUCCCCCGCGGUGCGUUUAAACUUUGAACGCUUUCUGCACGUCGGACCGACACGUUACACUGCGCAAUAAUUGUAACGACUCUUUGCUUCGUUCAUGAAUCGACCGCUUCGGGCUGGCAACUGUUUCGUGCGUGUUCCAAUGUAUACGCGGAAAAUCAGGCUGAAUAGUUGCUUUGGAAAGCGAGACGCCAGUGUUUGAUAAUGCAAAUUCUUGUUUCAAUUUAUACAUUUUUAUAAAGAUUUCUUUUUCAUAUUGGCUUUAUAUCGCAUCGACACCUCGACCAUUAGCGACAAGUAGAGAUUAUUCUUUUGCCAGUCUCUUCUGUUGCAAAAAUCAGACGAAUCUACCUCGAUAAAUUUUCCACACUUUCUUAGGUAAGUAGUCACUUUUCUUCGAGAAAGUUACGCGAACCUCUACGUAGAUGGUAAUCUGCGGAAAAAAGUUCUGAUGAGUAGAAGGAACAAGGAACCAUCUACUGGUUGGAUUGCUGUAAUUUUUUGCACAUUCAAGUUGUUGCAAUCUAAUUUACAUUAACAUAGAACAGAAUUGGCUUUUCCCAAGUGAGCAAAAUUUUCAUCGCGUGCAAGAGGCAGACACACCAUACGAAUAAACGGACAGCGAAACUUUCAGCUCGCAACUAGGUUUAAAACUGAAAUUCAACAGGUGGACCAUGCAAAUAUUUGUCGGAAACGAGGCAUUCGUAUAAUACCACUCAUCAAUAGUGUUGCCCCGGGCAUUACCAUCUACGCACAGAAAAAGAGAUUCCUUCAUCGUGGAGAAAAUUGACAGCUCCGAAACGUCUUCUUUCGUCGAUAACAUUCAGAUCGAUGAUGAUUAGAAUUUCUAUGUCAUCGAACGAAACUGUAAGGGCAAGCAUCCUGGA